AGUGAACGCUGGCGGUAGGCCUAACGCAUGCAAGUCGAACGGCAGCACAGUAAGAGCUUGCUCUUACGGGUGGCGAGUGGCGGACGGGUGAGGAAUACAUCGGAAUCUACUUUUUCGUGGGGGAUAACGUAGGGAAACUUACGCUAAUACCGCAUACGACCUACGGGUGAAAGCAGGGAAUCUUCGGACCUUGCGCGAUUGAAUGAGCCGAUGUCGGAUUAGCUAGUUGGCGGGGUAAAGGCCCACCAAGGCGACGAUCCGUAGCUGGUCUGAGAGGAUGAUCAGCCACACUGGAACUGAGACACGGUCCAGACUCCUACGGGAGGCAGCAGUGGGGAAUAUUGGACAAUGGGCGCAAGCCUGAUCCAGCCAUACCGCGUGGGUGAAGAAGGCCUUCGGGUUGUAAAGCCCUUUUGUUGGGAAAGAAAAGCAGCAGGUUAAUACCCCGCUGUUCUGACGGUACCCAAAGAAUAAGCACCGGCUAACUUCGUG
This 492-nucleotide ribosomal RNA is filed under the name uncultured bacterium. RNAcentral's name for it is "partial 16S ribosomal RNA". It matches the Rfam family "Bacterial small subunit ribosomal RNA", at positions 29 to 507 of the family's 1533-position model. The record is from RNAcentral.